UACGGAGGGUGCAAGCGUUAUUCGGAAUUAUUGGGCGUAAGGGGCGCGUAGGCGGUCUUUUAAGUCAGGUGUGAAAUCCCGGGGCUCAACCCCGGAAGUGCAUUUGAAACUAAGGGACUUGAGUAUGGGAGAGGGAAGUGGAAUUCCUGGUGUAGAGGUGAAAUUCGUAGAUAUCAGGAGGAACACCGGUGGCGAAGGCGACUUCCUGGACCAAUACUGACGCUGAGGCGCGAAGGCGUGGGGAGCAAACAGG
RNAcentral lists this ribosomal RNA (253 nucleotides) under uncultured bacterium. Its description in RNAcentral is "partial 16S ribosomal RNA". It matches the Rfam family "Bacterial small subunit ribosomal RNA", at positions 524 to 776 of the family's 1533-position model. The record is from RNAcentral.